GGCACGUGGGGGGCGUGCUUACACAUGCAAGUCGAACGAUGAAGCCCUUCGGGGUGGAUUAGUGGCGAACGGGUGAGUAACACGUGGGCAAUCUGCCCUUCACUCUGGGACAAGCCCUGGAAACGGGGUCUAAUACCGGAUAAUACUGCGGACCGCAUGGUCUGCGGUUGAAAGCUCCGGCGGUGAAGGAUGAGGCGGCUGCUUCUCGGCUUGUUUGUGAGGUAGUGGCUCACCAUGGCGACGACGGGUAGCCGGCCUGAGAGGGCGACCGUCCACAUUGGGACUGAGACACGGCCCAGACUCUUACGGGAGGCAGCAGUGGGGAAUAUUGCACAAUGGGCGAAAGCCUGAUGCAGCGACGCCGCGUGAGGGAUGACGGCCUUCGGGUUGUAAACCUCUUUCAGCAGGGAAGAAGCGAAAGUGACGGUACCUGCAGAAGAAGCGCCGGGCUAACUACGUGCCAGCAGCCGCGGUAAUACGUAGGGCGCAAGCGUUGUCCGGGAAUUAUUGGGCGUAAAGAGCUCGUAGGCGGCUUGUCGCGUCGGUUGUGAAAGCCCGGGGCUUAACCCCGGGUCUGCAGUCGAUACGGGCAGGCUAGAGUGUGGUAGGGGAGAUCGGAAUUCCUGGUGUAGCGGUGAAAUGCGCAGAUAUCAGGAGGAACACCGGUGGCGAAGGCGGAUCUCUGGGCCAUUACUGACGCUGAGGAGCGAAAGCGUGGGGAGCGAACAGGAUUAGAUACCCUGGUAGUCCACGCCGUAAACGGUGGGCACUAGGUGUUGGCGACAUUCCACGUCGUCGGUGCCGCAGCUAACGCAUUAAGUGCCCCGCCUGGGGAGUACGGCCGCAAGGCUAAAACUCAAAGGAAUUGACGGGGGCCCGCACAAGCAGCGGAGCAUGUGGCUUAAUUCGACGCAACGCGAAGAACCUUACCAAGGCUUGACAUACACCGGAAACGGGCCAGAGAUGGUCGCCCCUCUUGUGGUCGGUGUACAGGUGGUGCAUGGCUGUCGUCAGCUCGUGUCGUGAGAUGUUGGGUUAAGUCCCGCAACGAGCGCAACCCUUGGUUCUGUGUUGCCAGCAUGCCUUUCGGGGUGAUGGGGACUCACAGGAGACUGCCGGGGUUCACUCGGAGGAAGUUGGGGACGACGUCAAGUCAUCAUGCCCCUUAUGUUUUGGGCUGCACACGUGCUUACAAUGGCCAGGUACAAAGAGCUUGCGAAGCCGUUAAGGCGGAGCGAAUCUCUAAAAGCCUGUGUCUCUCAGUUUCGGGAAUUGGGGUCUGCAACUCGACCCCAUGAAGUCGGAGUUGCUAGUAAUCGCAGAUCAGCAUUGCUGCGGUGAAUACGUUCCCGGGCCUUGUACACACCGCCCGUCACGUCACGAAAGUCGGUAACACCCGAAGCCGGUGGCCCAACCCCUUGUGGGAGGGAGCGUCGAAGGGUGAACCGGGG
Molecule: ribosomal RNA, 1451 nt
Filed under: Streptomyces formicae
Lineage: Bacteria; Bacillati; Actinomycetota; Actinomycetes; Kitasatosporales; Streptomycetaceae
Description: bacterial SSU rRNA
Rfam family: Bacterial small subunit ribosomal RNA
Source: RNAcentral